GAUGAACGCUGGCGGCGUGCCUAAUACAUGCAAGUCGAGCGAACGGACGAGAAGCUUGCUUCUCUGCUGUUAGCGGCGGACGGGUGAGUAACACGUGGAUAACCUACCUAUAAGACUGGGAUAACUUCGGGAAACCGGAGCUAAUACCGGAUAAUAUUUUGAACCGCAUGGUUCAAAAGUGAAAGACGGUCUUGCUGUCACUUAUAGAUGGAUCCGCGCUGCAUUAGCUAGUUGGUAAGGUAACGGCUUACCAAGGCAACGAUGCAUAGCCGACCUGAGAGGAUGAUCGGCCACACUGGAACUGAGACACGGUCCAGACUCCUACGGGAGGCAGCAGUAGGGAAUCUUCCGCAAUGGGCGAAAGCCUGACGGAGCAACGCCGCGUGAGUGAUGAAGGUCUUCGGAUCGUAAAACUCUGUUAUUAGGGAAGAACAGAUGUGUAAGUAACUGUGCACAUCUUGACGGUACCUAAUCAGAAAGCCACGGCUAACUACGUG
This 497-nucleotide ribosomal RNA is filed under the name uncultured bacterium. Its description in RNAcentral is "partial 16S ribosomal RNA". It matches the Rfam family "Bacterial small subunit ribosomal RNA", at positions 28 to 507 of the family's 1533-position model. The record is from RNAcentral.